UUCAAACAAAAAAUGCAUUAGCGGAAACAUACACAAACGGCUUACACGAGGGUAAACAAUAGCCAUUAGUGAAAGAAAGGAAAACUAAACAUUCAUUUGUACUAUGAUUCGUUUUUGAUCAUAUACAUUGCAUUCAUCUUGUUCAUUUUCGAAUUCCCUACAUGUCACUUCAUCAUUUCUUUCUUACAUCACAUUUACCACAAAAUACACAUUACAUUCUUUUCUUUACAUUACUAGUUAUCAUAUACAAAAGAUGAACAUA
This 262-nucleotide long non-coding RNA is filed under the name Ananas comosus (pineapple). RNAcentral describes it as "long non-coding RNA (ACOM_LNC023452)". Lineage: Eukaryota; Viridiplantae; Streptophyta; Magnoliopsida; Poales; Bromeliaceae. The record is from RNAcentral.